GUGCAAAUUCUUCCUUCAUCAGCAAAGACAAUUUGCUCUGGGACACAGCUCCAAAUUGCCGGCAUGCUCAUUUAUGCUGUGGGAGAACAGCAUAAAUGCUCCUUUUUCACUGUUCUACUACUUACUGCUGUUGCCAAAGACACCAGAAGCCAAAUAACAGAGAGUGCAAACAACUUGUUCAAGGUCAUUGGACUGAAAGUGACAGAGGCAGGACUCUGUCCCACAUGCAAAGACUCCACGCAUCAUGCCUAUGAUACUCAGAGAAGAAGGCUAUCAUUAUAAAGAUCUAUACUUGAUGCUAGAAAUUCAAGACCAGCCUGGGCAACAUAGCAAGACUCUCGUCUCCACAAAAAAGAAAAAAAAAUUUUAAAAUAGGCAUAGUGGAGCACACUGGUGGUAGUCUUAGCUACUCAGGAGACUAAGGUGGGAGGAUCCCUUGAGCCAAGGAGUUCGAGGCUGCAGUGAGCUAUGAGCACACCACUGCACUCCAGCCUGUGCAACAGAGAAAGACCCUGUCUCU
This 520-nucleotide long non-coding RNA is filed under the name Pongo abelii (Sumatran orangutan). Its description in RNAcentral is "lincRNA". Lineage: Eukaryota; Metazoa; Chordata; Mammalia; Primates; Hominidae. The record is from RNAcentral.